This 497-nucleotide ribosomal RNA is filed under the name uncultured bacterium. RNAcentral describes it as "partial 16S ribosomal RNA". It matches the Rfam family "Bacterial small subunit ribosomal RNA", at positions 28 to 507 of the family's 1533-position model. The record is from RNAcentral.
GAUGAACGCUGGCGGCGUGCCUAAUACAUGCAAGUCGAGCGACCGGACGAUAAGCUUUCUUCUCUGCUGUUAGCGGCGGGCGGGUGAGUAACACGUGGAUAACCUACUUCUAAUACUGGGAUAACUUCGGGAAACCGGUGCUGAUACUAGAUCAUAUUUCGAACGGCAUGGUUCAAAAGUGCUAGACGGUUUUCCCGUCACAUUUAGCUGAAUCCGCGCUGGAUUAGCUAGUUGGUAAGGUAACGGCUUACCAAGGCAACGAUGCGUAGCCGACCUGAGAGGGUGAUCGGCCACACUGGAACUGAGACACGGUCCAGACUCCUACGGGAGGCAGCAGUGGGGAAUAUUCCGCAAUGGGCGAAAGCCUGACCGAGCCACGCCGCGUGAGUGAUGAAGGUCUUCGGAUCGUAAAGCUCUUUUAUUAGGAAAGAACAGAUGUAUAAGAAACUGUGGCUAUUUUGACGGUACCUAAUCAGAAAGCACCGGCUAACUACGUG